RNAcentral lists this ribosomal RNA (468 nucleotides) under uncultured bacterium. RNAcentral's name for it is "partial 16S ribosomal RNA". It matches the Rfam family "Bacterial small subunit ribosomal RNA", at positions 28 to 507 of the family's 1533-position model. The record is from RNAcentral.
GACGAACGCUGGCGGCGUGCUUAACACAUGCAAGUCGAACGGAAAGGCCCUGCUUUUGUGGGGUGCUCGAGUGGCGAACGGGUGAGUAACACGUGAGUAACCUGCCCUUGACUUUGGGAUAACUUCAGGAAACUGGGGCUAAUACCGGAUAGGAGCUCCUCCUCCCUGGUGGGGGUGGGAAAGUUUCGGCGGUUGGGGAUGGACUGGCGGCUUAUCAGCUUGUUGGUGGGGUAGUGGCUUACCAAGGCUUCGACGGGUAGCCGGCCUGGGAGGGUGACCACGCACAUUGGGACUGAGGUACGGCGCAGAGUCGUACGGGAGGCAACAGUGGGGAGUAUGGCACAAUGAGCGGGAGCCUGAUGCAGCGGCGCCGCGUGCGGGAUGACGGCCUUCGGGUUGUAAACCGCUUUCGCCUGUGACGAAGCGUUAGUGACGGUAAUGGGUAAAGAAGCACCGGCUAACUACGUG